Molecule: ribosomal RNA, 253 nt
Filed under: uncultured bacterium
Lineage: Bacteria
Description: partial 16S ribosomal RNA
Rfam family: Bacterial small subunit ribosomal RNA
Source: RNAcentral
UACGUAGGUGGCAAGCGUUGUCCGGAUUUAUUGGGUUUAAAGGGUGCGUAGGCGGUUCAAUAAGUCAGUGGUGAAAUACGGCAGCUCAACUGUCGAGGUGCCAUUGAUACUGUAGAACUUGAGUACAGACGAGGUAGGCGGAAUUGACGGUGUAGCGGUGAAAUGCUUAGAUAUCGUCAAGAACACCGAUAGCGAAGGCAGCUUACUAGGCUGUAACUGACGCUGAGGCACGAAAGUGUGGGGAUCAAACAGG